RNAcentral lists this microRNA precursor (83 nucleotides) under Ovis aries (sheep). Its description in RNAcentral is "miRNA (ENSOARG00000022832.1)". The record is from RNAcentral. Lineage: Eukaryota; Metazoa; Chordata; Mammalia; Artiodactyla; Bovidae.
UAUUGGGUUGGCCAAAAAGUGCGUUCAGGUUUUUCCAUUACACCUUAUGGAAAAACCCAAAUGAACUUAUUGGCCAUCCCAGU